Molecule: long non-coding RNA, 249 nt
Organism: Passer domesticus (house sparrow)
Lineage: Eukaryota; Metazoa; Chordata; Aves; Passeriformes; Passeridae
Exons: 2
Source: RefSeq, a predicted model, not a curated record
CACUUGGUUAUCAAGAGUUAACCAGCACAGAAGCAGAGCCCUUGAUUAACUUCAAGGUUGCCCCAUGCCUUAUCAUGUGUGGAGGCAUUGUCCUCAGCUUAUUUUAAGAAGGAGCAAGAAAGAACAUCCAGGAAAACAAUUCAAAUAUAUGAUGCCUAAGAGAAAAAACUGAUUAAUUACGCUGUCAUCAGCUGGUUCCUGCUAGUAUAUAGAGUGCUUAAAUAAUAAAAAUAUAAUACAAAGAACAAA